CCUACGGGGGGCAGCAGUGGGGAAUAUUGGGCAAUGGGCGCAAGCCUGACCCAGCAAUGCCGCGUGAAGGAAGAAGGCCCUCGGGUUGUAAACUUCUUUUAUCAGGGACGAAGGAUGUGACGGUACCUGAUGAAUAAGCUCCGGCUAACUACGUGCCAGCAGCCGCGGUAAUACGUAGGGAGCAAGCGUUGUCCGGAUUUACUGGGUGUAAAGGGUGCGUAGGCGGCCCUGCAAGUCAGAAGUGAAAUCCAUGGGCUUAACCCGUGAACUGCUUUUGAAACUGUAGGGCUUGAGUGAAGUAGAGGCAGGCGGAAUUCCCGGUGUAGCGGUGAAAUGCGUAGAGAUCGGGAGGAACACCAGUGGCGAAGGCGGCCUGCUGGGCUUUAACUGACGCUGAAGCACGAAAGCGUGGGUAGCAAACAGGAUUAGAUACCCUGGUAGUC
Molecule: ribosomal RNA, 443 nt
Filed under: uncultured bacterium
Lineage: Bacteria
Description: partial 16S ribosomal RNA
Rfam family: Bacterial small subunit ribosomal RNA
Source: RNAcentral